RNAcentral lists this ribosomal RNA (427 nucleotides) under uncultured beta proteobacterium. Its description in RNAcentral is "bacterial SSU rRNA". It matches the Rfam family "Bacterial small subunit ribosomal RNA", at positions 355 to 774 of the family's 1533-position model. The record is from RNAcentral. Lineage: Bacteria; Pseudomonadati; Pseudomonadota; Betaproteobacteria.
UGGGGAAUUUUGGACAAUGGGCGAAAGCCUGAUCCAGCCAUGCCGCGUGAGUGAAGAAGGCCUUCGGGUUGUAAAGCUCUUUUAGUCGGAAAGAAAGAGUUGCAAUGAAUAAUUGUGAUUUAUGACGGUACCGACAGAAAAAGCACCGGCUAACUACGCGCCAGCAGCCGCGGUAAUACGUAGGGUGCGAGCGUUAAUCGGAAUUACUGGGCGUAAAGGGUGCGCAGGCGGUCUUGCAAGUCAGAUGUGAAAGCCCCGGGCUUAACCUGGGAAUUGCGUUUGAAACUACAAGACUAGAGUGCAGCAGAGGGGAGUGGAAUUCCAUGUGUAGCAGUGAAAUGCGUAGAGAUGUGGAAGAACACCGAUGGCGAAGGCAGCUCCCUGGGUUGACACUGACGCUCAUGCACGAAAGCGUGGGGAGCAAACA